Non-coding RNA from Otolemur garnettii (small-eared galago), 300 nucleotides. The record is from Rfam. NCBI's taxonomy places the organism in Eukaryota, Metazoa, Chordata, Mammalia, Primates, Galagidae.
GCCAGGCGUUGUGGCGGGCGCCUGUGGUCCCAGCUACUUGGGAGGCGGAGGCAGGAGACUCGCUUGAGCCCAGGAGUUGGAGGUUGCUGUGAGCUGUGAUGCCACGGCACUUUACCCAGGGGAUAGCUUGAGCCUCUGUCUCAAAAAAAAAAAAAAAAUGGUAGAUGCUAACUAUGUUAUCACACAUGGUAUUUUUUUUUUUGAGACAGAGCCUCAAGCUAUCCCCCUGGGUAGAGUGCUGUGGCAUCACACCUCACAGCAACCUCCAACUCCUGGGCUCAAGCAAGUCUCCUGCCUCAG